This 423-nucleotide ribosomal RNA is filed under the name uncultured bacterium. Its description in RNAcentral is "bacterial SSU rRNA". It matches the Rfam family "Bacterial small subunit ribosomal RNA", at positions 207 to 622 of the family's 1533-position model. The record is from RNAcentral.
AAGACCUUGCGCUUUUGGAGCGGCCGAUGCCUGAUUAGCUUGUUGGUAAGGUAAAAGCUUACCAAGGCUUCGAUCAGUAGCUGGUCUGAGAGGACGACCAGCCACACUGGGACUGAGACACGGCCCAGACUCCUACGGGAGGCAGCAGUGGGGAAUUUUGGACAAUGGGGGCAACCCUGAUCCAGCCAUGCCGCGUGAGUGAAGAAGGCCUUCGGGUUGUAAAGCUCUUUCAGCCGGAACGAAACGGUUACGGAUAACACCCGUGACUACUGACGGUACCGGAAGAAGAAGCACCGGCUAACUACGUGCCAGCAGCCGCGGUAAUACGUAGGGUGCGAGCGUUAMUCGGAAUUACUGGGCGUAAAGCGUGCGCAGGUGGUUUUGUAAGUCAGAUAUGAAAGCCCCGGGCUCAACCUGGGAACU